This 723-nucleotide ribosomal RNA is filed under the name uncultured beta proteobacterium. Its description in RNAcentral is "bacterial SSU rRNA". It matches the Rfam family "Bacterial small subunit ribosomal RNA", at positions 45 to 764 of the family's 1533-position model. The record is from RNAcentral. Lineage: Bacteria; Pseudomonadati; Pseudomonadota; Betaproteobacteria.
UGCCUUACACAUGCAAGUCGAACGGUAACGCGGGGCAACCUGGCGACGAGUGGCGAACGGGUGAGUAACGCAUCGGAACGUACCCAAUAGUGGGGGAUAGCCCGGCGAAAGCCGGAUUAAUACCGCAUACGACCUACGGGUGAAAGCGGGGGAUCGCAAGACCUCGCGCUAUUGGAGCGGCCGAUGUCAGAUUAGGUAGUUGGUGAGGUAAAGGCUCACCAAGCCUUCGAUCUGUAGCUGGUCUGAGAGGACGACCAGCCACACUGGGACUGAGACACGGCCCAGACUCCUACGGGAGGCAGCAGUGGGGAAUUUUGGACAAUGGGCGCAAGCCUGAUCCAGCCAUGCCGCGUGCGGGAAGAAGGCCUUCGGGUUGUAAACCGCUUUUGUCAGGGAAGAAACACUCUGGGCUAAUACCUCGGGGUAAUGACGGUACCUGAAGAAUAAGCACCGGCUAACUACGUGCCAGCAGCCGCGGUAAUACGUAGGGUGCGAGCGUUAAUCGGAAUUACUGGGCGUAAAGCGUGCGCAGGCGGUUAUGCAAGACAGAUGUGAAAUCCCCGGGCUUAACCUGGGAACUGCAUUUGUGACUGCAUGGCUAGAGUGCGGCAGAGGGGGAUGGAAUUCCGCGUGUAGCAGUGAAAUGCGUAGAUAUGCGGAGGAACACCGAUGGCGAAGGCAAUCCCCUGGGCCUGCACUGNACGCUCAUGCACGAAAGCCGUG